GGAAAGCUGAGUAACUGCUGAGUAGGUGCAA
Molecule: non-coding RNA, 31 nt
Filed under: Homo sapiens (human)
Lineage: Eukaryota; Metazoa; Chordata; Mammalia; Primates; Hominidae
Source: RNAcentral